Molecule: ribosomal RNA, 546 nt
Filed under: uncultured bacterium
Lineage: Bacteria
Description: bacterial SSU rRNA
Rfam family: Bacterial small subunit ribosomal RNA
Source: RNAcentral
AGUGAAUAGAUACCCCGGUAGUCCACGCCGUAAACGAUGGAUGCUAGCUGUACGGAGUAUCGACCCUCUGUGUAGCGAAAGCUAACGCGUUAAGCAUCCCGCCUGUGGAGUACGGCCGCAAGGCUAAAACAUAAAGGAAUUGACGGGGACCCGCACAAGCGGUGGAGCGUGUUGUUUAAUUCGAUGAUAAGCGAAGAACCUUACCAAGGUUUGACAUCCUACUAAUCUUUCCGAAAGGAAGGAGUGCCUUCGGGCCGUAGUGACAGGUGAUGCAUGGCCGUCGUCAGCUCGUGUCGUGAGAUGUUUGGUUAAGUCCAUCAACGAGCGCAACCCUUAUAGUUAGUUGGAUUUCUCUAGCUAGACUGCCCCGGUAACGGGGAGGAAGGAGGGGAUGAUGUCAGGUCAGUAUUUCCCUUACACCCUGGGCUACAAACACGCUACAAUGGCCGAUACAAAGGGCAGCCAACCCGCGAGGGGAGCAAAUCCCAUCAAAGCCGGUCUCAGUUCGGAUAGCAGGCUGAAACUCGCCUGCUUGAAGCUGGAAUC